UCUGCGUUACCGCAGCAGUCUCGUGUGACACGUAUAACACACGAUAGGGGUUGCGCUCGUUGAUCCACUUAAGGAGACCUCUCACGAGACGAGCUGACGACAGCCGUGCAUCACCUGUCCAACGGCCUUGCGGGGGAACCGGUUUCCCGGUCCUUUCCUUUGGAUUUCAAGCCCUGGUGAGGUUUCUCGGUUAGAGUCGAAUUGAACCACAUGAUCCACUGCUUGUGCGAAGUCCCGCCUAUUUCUUUGAGUUUUAAUCUUGCGAUCGUACUUCCCAGGCGACACACUUAACGCGUUAGCUUCGCCACUGGAAGGGUCGAUGCUCCCAAUAGCUAGUGUGCAUAGUUUAGGGCGUGGACUA
This 361-nucleotide unclassified non-coding RNA is filed under the name uncultured bacterium. RNAcentral's name for it is "contains 16S-23S intergenic spacer region". The record is from RNAcentral.